AUUUUUGGCCACUCCCCUCGACUGGAUUUGUACUGUAUUUGUUUUGCAAUGAAGAAACCCACUUAAGGACUUUUCUUCAUAUUUGGAAACCACCAUAACAUCCAGUCUGAAGACAUCAAUUGAAGACCUGUACUUCAUGUUAAACCAAGGAAAUCUCCACCUAUUAAUUCUUGUUAUCAAUAUUUCCCAAAUUAUACAAAAAUUAUGUAAUGACCAAGCAUGUUCCCCCAAUUCUAGCCUUGUCCAAAACUCUGCACACUCUUGACGUAUAUGAGCUGUUUUAAGGGAUGUUAUUGAACAUAAAUGUGGCCAAGUUUGUUUGAAAGAUUUGGUCUUGUAAUUCUGUGGCUUAUGAAAGAAAGUCUGUUGCUAAUAAUGGAAGCGCAGACUUGGGGAAUGAUGGCACAAGCACAAUUCAACAUUAAUCUGUACUGCAGCUGAUCUGGAUCCACAUGCUUGCUUGGCUGUGUUCGAACCGGUGACCGGUGGUUCCCAAAACCUGGAGCACCCUAACAGUAACACAGUUUGGAUCCCUGCGUCUGAAAUUGCCUCAUGCCAUUAAUCUGGUGUUUGGUAAGGAACAAGAUUGGGAACCACAGGUGUAGACCAUCUGAAUAUUUUUAGAUGACCUUUUGAGACCGAGUCUAUGAAAAACACGGCUGUGAAAAGUCUUUUUAUUUGUAAUUUUGUGAUAAUGUGAAGAACAUAUAAUCUUUAUAUCUUUAAUAUUGACUGAGUAAGAUCAUGUUAGAGAUUGAAAUUAAUUAAGUUCAAACUUUGAUUCUUCUAAAAUUAGAUUAAGAUUUUAGCCUUCAUUUCAUAGACAGGGUCACAUAUAUAUUUUAACAGUUUUAAUAAAUACAACAAUAUUAAUAAACUAAAAUAAUAUCAAUCAAAUUCCAACUCCUUUGAGUUUUGUUUCGAGGCCAGAAUAUAAGUUUUUAGAUUUGGUCUGUAAGUAACAUUUAAAGGUGAGGUGGAUUUUCUUAAAACAUGUUGUUUCUUUCUAAAGGUCUGUAACAAUACAAAGAGUUGGAGAAAUAAUCCCGAUAGAAGUCAAAUAAAUGUAUUUAUUCAAACAAACAUAAUAAUGGGUCUGAACAUAAUACACAAAAGAUAAAAAAGAUUCAGUACACAGAAUUUCCUCAUUCAUAAGAGCAUGAAAUUCUAAAUUUUAAUGCAACGUCCACUUGGUCAUGUGAUAUUUAAAGCCUGUUCAUACCAAAGAUGAUAACUAUAAAGAUAAAAUAAAUUGUUUCAACAUUUAAGACAAUAUCAGUC
Paramisgurnus dabryanus is the source of this 1281-nucleotide long non-coding RNA. RefSeq lists it as uncharacterized. NCBI's taxonomy places the organism in Eukaryota, Metazoa, Chordata, Actinopteri, Cypriniformes, Cobitidae. The record is from RefSeq and is a predicted model, not a curated record.